GAUGAACGCUGGCGGCGUGCCUAAUACAUGCAAGUCGAGCGAACGGACGAGAAGCUUGCUUCUCUGAUGUUAGCGGCGGACGGGUGAGUAACACGUGGAUAACCUACCUAUAAGACUGGGAUAACUUCGGGAAACCGUAGCUAAUACCGGAUAAUAUUUUGAACCGCAUGGUUCAAAAGUGAAAGACGGUCUUGCUGUCACUUAUAGAUGGAUCCGCGCUGCAUUAGCUAGUUGGUAAGGUAACGGCUUACCAAGGCAACGAUGCAUAGCCGACCUGAGAGAGUGAUCGGCCACACUGGAACUGAGACACGGUCCAGACUCCUACGGGAGGCAGCAGUAGGGAAUCGUACGCAAUGGGCGAAAGCAUGACGGAGCGACGCCGCGUGAGUGAUGAAGGUCUUCGGAUCGUAAAACUCUGUUAUUAGGGAAGAACAGAUGUGUAAGUAACUGAGCACAUCGUGACGGUACCUAAUCAGAAAGCCACGGCUAACUACGUG
Molecule: ribosomal RNA, 497 nt
Filed under: uncultured bacterium
Lineage: Bacteria
Description: partial 16S ribosomal RNA
Rfam family: Bacterial small subunit ribosomal RNA
Source: RNAcentral